AUGGCGUCCUACUACAACGGCGGCAGGCCCAUGUCCUACUCCAACACCGACGAGGGCUUCGACGGCGGCAGGACCAUUUACUCCACCCCCACCGAGUGCUACGACGCCAGCAAGCACGGCCUUGGCAUAGGCCACGGCCAUGGGUAUGGCGGGACCAACAUGUACUCCAACACCACUGACGUCCACUGCUUCGACCCCAGCAUGCACGGGCAAGGCCGCGGCGGCGGUGGCAGGACCAUGUAUCCCAACACCGCCCACGGGCUCUUCGACUCUGGCAGGCCCGGGCAUGGGCACGUCCACCGCUACGGGCACAACGACGGUAGGAUCAUGUCGUACACCACUACCACCACCAAGGAGUCCUUCGGCGGAGGCGAGCAGGGGCAGGGGUACUACAAGAAGGAGGUGAAGCAGCACAAGAACAGGGAGCUCGUCGGUGAGGUUGGCGCCUUUGCCCCGGUAAUUACUCAGGAAGUCAACAUCGCAUAG
RNAcentral lists this ribosomal RNA (486 nucleotides) under Triticum aestivum (bread wheat). RNAcentral describes it as "partial small subunit ribosomal RNA". The record is from RNAcentral. Lineage: Eukaryota; Viridiplantae; Streptophyta; Magnoliopsida; Poales; Poaceae.